UGGGGAAUAUUGCACAAUGGGCGCAAGCCUGAUGCAGCCAUGCCGCGUGUAUGAAGAAGGCCUUCGGGUUGUAAAGUACUUUCAGCGGGGAGGAAGGUGUUGAGGCUAAUAACCUCAGCAAUUGACGUUACCCGCAGAAGAAGCACCGGCUAACUCCGUGCCAGCAGCCGCGGUAAUACGGAGGGUGCAAGAGUUAAUCGGAAUUACUGGGCGUAAAGCGCACGCAGGCGGUCUGUCAAGUCGGAUGUGAAAUCCCCGGGCUCAACCUGGGAACUGCAUUCGAAACUGGCAGGCUAGAGUCUUGUAGAGGGGGGUAGAAUUCCAGGUGUAGCGGUGAAAUGCGUAGAGAUCUGGAGGAAUACCGGUGGCGAAGGCGGCCCCCUGGACAAAGACUGACGCUCAGGUGCGAAAGCGUGGGGAGCAAACA
Molecule: ribosomal RNA, 427 nt
Filed under: uncultured bacterium
Lineage: Bacteria
Description: partial 16S ribosomal RNA
Rfam family: Bacterial small subunit ribosomal RNA
Source: RNAcentral